CCUACGGGAGGCAGCAGUGGGGAAUAUUGCACAAUGGGGGGAACCCUGAUGCAGCGACGCCGCGUGAGUGAAGAAGUAUUUCGGUAUGUAAAGCUCUAUCAGCAGGGAAGAAAAUGCCGGUACCUGACUAAGAAUCCCCGGCUAACUACUUUCCAGCAGCCGCGGUCAUACGGAGGGGGCAGGAGUUAUCCGGGUUUACUGGGUGUAAAGGGAACGUAGACGGUUAUGCAAGUCUGAAGUGAAAGCCCAAGGCUCAACCAUGGGACUGCUUUGGAAACUGGAAAACUGGAGUGCAGGAGAGGUAAGCGGAAUUCCUAGUGUAGCGGUGAAAUGCGUAGAUAUUAGGAGGAACACCAGUGGCGAAGGCGGCUUACUGGACUGUAACUGACGUUGAGGCUCGAAGGCGUGGGUAGCAAACAGGAUUAGAUACCCUAGUAGUC
This 440-nucleotide ribosomal RNA is filed under the name uncultured bacterium. Its description in RNAcentral is "partial 16S ribosomal RNA". It matches the Rfam family "Bacterial small subunit ribosomal RNA", at positions 338 to 795 of the family's 1533-position model. The record is from RNAcentral.